CUGGAGUCGGGAGCGGUGGGGGCAGCAGGACCAAGGGGCGGCCAGGUUGUUCUGCAGAUACUAAAACCUCACCAGAUGGAAGAAUUUAACUGCAUGAUGACCACGAGCAGGGAGCCCCCACACCAGCUGGAGCCUGAGGACUGAAGAUGCUAAACCCCAUGACACAACCCUGUUACCUCAUCAUCAACCAAUCAGAGAAUAAUGCUGGAGACAGUAAAUCACAUACACUCAAAGAAAUUC
Molecule: long non-coding RNA, 240 nt
Filed under: Capra hircus (goat)
Lineage: Eukaryota; Metazoa; Chordata; Mammalia; Artiodactyla; Bovidae
Description: lncRNA (ENSCHIG00000005748.1)
Source: RNAcentral